GAUGAACGCUGGCGGCGUGCCUAAUACAUGCAAGUCGAGCGAACAGACGAGGAGCUUGCUCCUCUGACGUUAGCGGCGGACGGGUGAGUAACACGUGGAUAACCUACCUAUAAGACUGGGAUAACUUCGGGAAACCGGAGCUCAUACCGGAUAAUAUAUUGAACCGCAUGGUUCAAUAGUGAAAGCCGGUUUUGCUGUCACUUAUAGAUGGAUCCGCGCCGCAUUAGCUAGUUGGUAAGGUAACGGCUUACCAAGGCGACGAUGCGUAGCCGACCUGAGAGGGUGAUCAGCCACACUGGAACUGAGACACGGUCCAGACUCCUACGGGAGGCAGCAGUAGGGAAUCUUCCGCAAUGGGCGAAAGCCUGACGGAGCAACGCCGCGUGAGUGAUGAAGGUCUUCGGAUCGUAAAACUCUGUUAUUAGGGAAGAACAAAUGUGUAAGUAACUAUGCACGUCUUGACGGUACCUAAUCAGAAAGCCACGGCUAACUACGUG
This 497-nucleotide ribosomal RNA is filed under the name uncultured bacterium. RNAcentral's name for it is "partial 16S ribosomal RNA". It matches the Rfam family "Bacterial small subunit ribosomal RNA", at positions 28 to 507 of the family's 1533-position model. The record is from RNAcentral.